UACGUAGGGGGCAAGCGUUGUCCGGAAUUACUGGGCGUAAAGAGCUCGUAGGUGGUUUGUCGCGUUGUCCGUGAAAACUCACAACUCAAUUGUGGGCGUGCGGGCGAUACGGGCAGACUGGAGUACUGCAGGGGAGACUGGAAUUUUUGGUGUAGCGGUGGAAUGCGCAGAUAUCAGGAGGAACACCGGUGGCGAAGGCGGGUCUCUGGGCAGUAACUGACGCUGAGGAGCGAAAGCGUGGGGAGCGAACAGG
Molecule: ribosomal RNA, 253 nt
Filed under: uncultured bacterium
Lineage: Bacteria
Description: partial 16S ribosomal RNA
Rfam family: Bacterial small subunit ribosomal RNA
Source: RNAcentral